UGCCUUAGCCUCCUAAGCUUCUGGGAUACAGGUGUGUACCACCGCGCUCAGCUAUCUACCUUCUUUCCGAAGGCAAGUUCCUUCUGAAAUGAAAGGCUACCUCUGAGAGUCUUGACCUGCCCAAUCUUUCCUCAGCGUUUUCCAAAGGUUUAAGCCUCGCUCGCUGUGCCUGGGUCUUCUCUUGCUCCUUCCUAGCUCAGCCUUCACCACUUGAGGCUCAUCAAACAUGGCUCAUACCUGCAGAGACCGUCAGAUUCAUGUUCAAGAACAGCCUGUUGUUUCUGUCUCCAAUGCCACAACGGUACUGUCCCACAUCAUGCAAGGACAGUUGGGACAGCCUCACCACAAACAAGCUGCUCUGUGGGAAGUCUGCUAGAGUCACACGACCCUGGUAGUCACGGUGAGUGUAGUGGUUGCUGGACACAAUUGUGUGGCAGAUCCUCGUUGGCAGCUGCAGACGGCACCAGUACUUCCUCUGGUGCCUGUUGGCUGACGAGGGGGUGUAAUGGCACUGGAUGGUG
This 521-nucleotide long non-coding RNA is filed under the name Marmota monax (woodchuck). The record is from RNAcentral. Lineage: Eukaryota; Metazoa; Chordata; Mammalia; Rodentia; Sciuridae.